This 433-nucleotide ribosomal RNA is filed under the name uncultured bacterium. RNAcentral describes it as "partial 16S ribosomal RNA". It matches the Rfam family "Bacterial small subunit ribosomal RNA", at positions 29 to 507 of the family's 1533-position model. The record is from RNAcentral.
AACGAACGCUGGCGGCAUGCCUAACACAUGCCAGUCGAACGAGACCUUCGGGUCUAGUGGCGCACGGGUGCGUAACGCGUGGGAACCUGCCCUUAGGUUCGGAAUAACUCCCCGAAAGGGGUGCUAAUACCGGAUAAUGUCUUCGGACCAAAGAUUUAUCGCCUUUGGAUGGGCCCGCGUUGGAUUAGCUAGUUGGUAGGGUAAAAGCCUACCAAGGCGAUGAUCCAUAGCUGGUCUGAGAGGAUGAUCAGCCACACUGGGACUGAGACACGGCCCAGACUCCUACGGGAGGAAGCAGUGGGGAAUAUUGGACAAUGGGCGAAAGCCUGAUCCAGCAAUGCCGCGUGAGUGAUGAAGGCCUUAGGGUUGUAAAGCUCUUUUACCCGGGAUGAUAAUGACAGUACCGGGAGAAUAAGCGCCGGCUAACUCCGUG